GGACAGAUAAGCUAAGUAAAGCUUAUGGGCUCAUGCCCCAUCGAUAGGGUUUCCCUUCUUUCCA
This 64-nucleotide transfer RNA is filed under the name Moina macrocopa. RNAcentral's name for it is "tRNA-Met". The record is from RNAcentral. Lineage: Eukaryota; Metazoa; Arthropoda; Branchiopoda; Diplostraca; Moinidae.